CAGUCGCCGCGGUAAUACAGAGGGUGCGAGCGUUAAUCGGAUUUACUGGGCGUAAAGCGUGCGUAGGCGGCUUUUUAAGUCGGAUGUGAAAUCCCUGAGCUUAACUUAGGAAUUGCAUUCGAUACUGGGAAGCUAGAGUAUGGGAGAGGAUGGUAGAAUUCCAGGUGUAGCGGUGAAAUGCGUAGAGAUCUGGAGGAAUACCGAUGGCGAAGGCAGCCAUCUGGCCUAAUACUGACGCUGAGGUACGAAAGCAUGGGGAGCAAACAGGAUUAGAGACCCCCGUAGUCCCUGUCUCUUAUAA
Molecule: ribosomal RNA, 301 nt
Filed under: uncultured bacterium
Lineage: Bacteria
Description: partial 16S ribosomal RNA
Rfam family: Bacterial small subunit ribosomal RNA
Source: RNAcentral